Molecule: long non-coding RNA, 1890 nt
Organism: Cyprinus carpio (common carp)
Lineage: Eukaryota; Metazoa; Chordata; Actinopteri; Cypriniformes; Cyprinidae
Source: Ensembl
ACCAUAUGAAACUAUCUUCCUAAAAUAAUGUCCGCAGGUCUAUAUGUGAGGAGAACUGAGAUGAUUUUGUUCAAAAUCAAUGAGUCAGCCAUCACAGAGUCAGCACUUUACUGCUCUUCCUGUGUUUCAACCACCAUCGGCCAGCAGGGGGCAGUGCUGUGGGGAUACAGUUCAUUGGGUGAAUGCUAAAGCAGGAUUUCAGGCUGAUUUAUUGCUAAUUCAAGGGUUUUCACUGCAUAAAAGUUCCUAUCUGGUAUUAAUUUGAUGCAAAUGCAGAAUAAAAUGGUGGUUAGAGAUUAGAUAAAUGAAAGUUGCCACAUAAAUAAUUGCAAAUUCAAGAGCCUUUGAUAAGGCCACAAACAAAGAAUCACAAACAAAAUAGCAUUGCAACAAACACUACCACAUAUGACCAGAAAUAUCUCAGGCCUUCGCAGAAGUUGGGGGUGUUAGGUGUGUCUGAGAGUGAUAGUGAGACAAACUUCCUCCUCAUACGUACAUUGGCCAACCUUCGCUUUAGAGGAAGAGAAGUGGCGCUGCGAGAGAAGAGAAAGCAGAGUUAUCAAAACCCACACAGUCUUCAUGUCCUGUGUCAGUGUUCGGUGAAAGGUGAUGGUUCUGACCGAAUCAUCUUCAGCUGGGGUGGAUGGAUUAACUGCUGGAUGACAACACGAACACGGUCUGUUGUGAGCUGCUGGUUCAUCAGUAGAGGACUAGAUGGAGGAGGCAGCAGAGACUGCACAGCUGAGGCAACCAAAGGUUCAGGAUGGUAGUACCCCAGUCCGGCACUCAGAAACCAAGCGUUACAGUGAGAUAUUACGCGAUUUUGACGCUAACUUGGAUCUUUCAUUAACAUGCUCGACUGUGGAUGAGCUACUACUAGAAGCAGACUCACUGUCUUUAACAGACACUUCAGCAGACACCACACUGAACGCUGAUCUGGAUGAUAUUACAGUGAGACAUGAUUGAUGAAUUAUUGUUCCCACUCUUUUUCUCAUAUGCUCGUUCUCCUAUCUCAUGAUACUUUUGGGUUCAACAUUCUCUCUGAAGCAAUGUGGUUUACGGUGGAUAUUAAAAGCUGUGUGUUUUUCAGGGUGAAGAUGUGGAGUCGUUGAAGAGCUGCCGUGAGGAGGAGGAAAAAGACGGAGCUGUAACCGGUAAUUCUUUUUAAGAUCAUUGUGUUUGCUUGCUGGACAUUUGGAGGAAGACUAACAGGGUGAAAAGAUUAAUGAGAUUUGCAAUGAACAAGUUUGUUUGUACUCUCAAAAAUAUUAGAAUGAAUAUCAUGCAUCCAGCUCGGUUUAUUGAGGUUGAUUGAUUCGAUAUGGUCUUCUGUCCAUCAUUUGGACAUAGACAGAGAUGACUGAUAUAUGAGAGAAGCAAAGCAAAGACAGUGACUGAUCAGGCCCGGAGGCAACAUGUCACUCCACCAAAUCUCUCUUCUUCAACCUGCACUGUUUACGUGUAAUUAGCCACAUGGACUAAUUGCCCCUCGCUAACAAGAUUAGCACCGGACGGGGGUUAGAGAGCAGAUUAAAGUAGCAGACAGCUGCUCUCUGUUUUUCCCGCUGAUCCAUCUCUCCGAAAACUGUUGAAAGAUAAGAUAGCAUGUUCGCUUUAGAACUGUAAUCUUUAUAUAAAAUUAGAGUAGUACAUAUGAACCAUAAAUUAUGAAGAAAAGAGUUGUAACCAAAGAUAAAAUGAGAUUAUUUUGAUUAGGUGAUAGCUGUGUUGUAUUGAAUAGCUAUAUAUUGACGUCAUCUUCCUUGGCUGCUACCUUGGCUAGACCUGCUUGUCCUGUGAGCAUAUAGCUGUUUGCUAGCUGAGAUUAGGGAUUACGUUAACACUCAAAGUUUAAAUAAAGCAUCCGCACAGUGACCUUCGAGAUGAUGA